UAUUAACAUAAUAUUAUGAUGGAUUUAAAAUUCGUUAAUAUUAAAUUGUGCUUAAAAUUGUUCAUCAUAUUGAAAUUGUUUAUUCAGGAAUCGAGUACGUAAAUGAAAUUAAAACUACUGUUUUAUUUUAUUACUUUAUAAUGUUUCUGUUUUAAUUGAAUAGCUAAAAAUUUAAAUUUAUGUACUCGAACAUCAUAUUACCUAUGAUGUUAGGUAAAAUUAUGUAGAUAAAAUGAUUAUGUUAUAGAUUCAGUAAGUGUUACUCUAGCUAAUUUAAAUACUGUAUGCUGUAUUGAUUCCGGAACAAACGAAAUAACUAAUAUAAAUGAUGCGCUACCAUAUUGUACAGCAAUAGCUACAUUUAGUGGAAAUAACCAGAGUAAGUAUUCACAUAAAAUAAAAAAUUGUAUUAAACAUUCAACUUUAUAAAUUAGUACAUAAUGUCACAUAUUUUUAUAACGUUAGGAAAAAUAUAUUUUUUUAAAAGAGCCGAAUAAUAUUGGUGUGUAAAGGUACUUUAGAGAGAUAAUUUUUCGAUUUCCUCAAGAGUUUUCUCAUGAAAUUGGAAAAACCGGAAAAAAAUCGGUACAACAGUAAACAAAUAUUAUUAAAACAAAAAUAUAAUGCCUAUUUUAUGGUUUUACUCUAAAAUAACAUAUAUUGUUGACAAAGAAUCAUUAUCUGAACUCCGCACGGAAUAAUCAUUUAUUCGUAAGCAAUAGUUCAUCGUAUAAAUUUUGUUAUCAAUAACAGUGGCUGCACCCGACCCCAUUAUCCUAGGUCGUCUUUUUUAUAAUUUGUUAUUUUUUCUCAUUAUCUAUUAGAUGACUUCGGGGUAUCCAUGCCUAUUAUUUAUGUCCAUGGCCUGACUAAAAAUCAUUAAAUAAAACAUUUUAACUACAAUAAAAAAAUGAACAAUCAUACAAUUACUACAAUUAAUAUUUUCAAUAUUGCCCGAUAAUUUAAUAUAAAUAGUAUAAUAGGUAUAAUCAGAUAUAUGCUUAAUAUUAUGUAAAUAUAAUAGAAAUAUUAUUAUUCCAAAAAAAUGCAAUUUUAUAGUACAAUACGAUUAAUAUGGACUUUAAUAAAAUAAAAUGGACUUUCAAGUUUCAGCGUAGAAUUUACUCUGUCUUUCUGGUAGGCAAUAGAGAAAAAUUGUACUAAUGUAAAGAAAUUAAAAAUCCUGAGGUGAGAAGUAGUUAGAAGUAGUUAGCUUAGUAGUUAACUGUAUAGCUUGGAGUCUCCCACCCAAAGACCGUGGGAAUAUACCUAUAGACGAUGAUUUCGGUAUUGAUGACUACAGCACUACCAUCGACAACGGCCCUCCCCCGGAUCUAACACCUGCUGCAGCUCAACCUGGUGGAGAUCCGGCAGAUUCUAGUGAACAAUACUCGAAUAAAAAUAAUUGUGAGCUGCUAUAAAUAACAUAAAAUACAGAAAAUCUCAAAUAUUGGAGAUUUCUACCAUGCGUUGAAGAAUAUAAACGGAAUUUGGCACUUGUAAUUUAAUUUAAUUUAAUCAAUAAAUAGGUAAGUCUUAUUCAAUACUAAUUUUAUAUUCAUAAAUAAUUCUGAUAUUGUUUUGAUAAAUUAAUAAAUGAGCAAUGAUUUUUAUAUGAUAUUUCAAUUACACCAAUUCUAAUUUAUUAGAAGGAAAAAAUACUUUUAUUUUAUUUCCAUGUUUAUACUAUUCUAACAUGUAGAUAAUUACGAG
Cinara cedri is the source of this 1713-nucleotide non-coding RNA. Lineage: Eukaryota; Metazoa; Arthropoda; Insecta; Hemiptera; Aphididae. The record is from the annotation of a GenBank genome assembly.